RNAcentral lists this ribosomal RNA (531 nucleotides) under uncultured bacterium. RNAcentral describes it as "partial 16S ribosomal RNA". It matches the Rfam family "Bacterial small subunit ribosomal RNA", at positions 354 to 900 of the family's 1533-position model. The record is from RNAcentral.
GUGGGGAAUAUUGCACAAUGGGCGAAAGCCUGAUGCAGCAACGCCGCGUGAGUGAUGAAGGUCUUCGGAUUGUAAAGCUCUGUCUUUUGGGACGAUAAUGACGGUACCAAAGGAGGAAGCCACGGCUAACUACGUGCCAGCAGCCGCGGUAAUACGUAGGUGGCGAGCGUUGUCCGGAUUUACUGGGCGUAAAGGGUGCGUAGGCGGAUGUUUAAGUGAGAUGUGAAAUACCCGGGCUUAACUUGGGUGCUGCAUUUCAAACUGGAUAUCUAGAGUGCAGGAGAGGAGAAUGGAAUUCCUAGUGUAGCGGUGAAAUGCGUAGAGAUUAGGAAGAACACCAGUGGCGAAGGCGAUUCUCUGGACUGUAACUGACGCUGAGGCACGAAAGCGUGGGUAGCAAACAGGAUUAGAUACCCUGGUAGUCCACGCCGUAAAACGAUGAGUACUAGGUGUAGGAGGUAUCGACCCCUUCUGUGCCGCAGUAAACACAUUAAGUACUCCGCCUGGGAAGUACGAUCGCAAGAUUAAAAC